Molecule: ribosomal RNA, 367 nt
Filed under: Salmonella enterica subsp. enterica serovar Oranienburg
Lineage: Bacteria; Pseudomonadati; Pseudomonadota; Gammaproteobacteria; Enterobacterales; Enterobacteriaceae
Also listed under: 2 other names
Description: bacterial LSU rRNA
Rfam family: Bacterial large subunit ribosomal RNA
Source: RNAcentral
CAUCCUCCAAGGCUAAAUACUCCUGACUGACCGAUAGUGAACCAGUACCGUGAGGGAAAGGCGAAAAGAACCCCGGCGAGGGGAGUGAAAAAGAACCUGAAACCGUGUACGUACAAGCAGUGGGAGCCCCACCACUAAGCCAGUGGUGAACUCCACAUACGCAUCCUUUGCUGAGGAUACGGUUAACGGAGCGAAAGCGACGUUCAACCGCAAAAGAAGCAGAGGGGGCUUAGUGGUGGGGUGACUGCGUACCUUUUGUAUAAUGGGUCAGCGACUUAUAUUCUGUAGCAAGGUUAACCGUAUAGGGGAGCCGGAGGGAAACCGAGUCUUAAUUGGGCGUUAAGUUGCAGGGUAUAGACCCGAAACC